AUUGAACGCUGGCGGCAGGCCUAUAAAAUGCAAGUCGAACUAGUAGCAGAAGGGUGAGUCAUGUCUGGAAAACUGCCUGAUGGAGGGGGAUAACUACUGGAAAAGGUAGCUAAUACCACAUACGAUCAGAUGUGCCCAGAUGGGAUUCGCUUGUUGGUGGGGUAACGGCUCACCAAGGCGACGAAACCUAGCUGGUCUGAGAGGAUGACCAGCCACACUGGAACUGAGACACGGUCCAGACUCCUACGGGAGGCAGCAGUGGGGAAUAUUGCACAAUGGGCGCAAGCCUGAUGCAGCCAUGCCGCGUGUAUGAAGAAGGCCUUCGGGUUGUAAAGUACUUUAAGCGGGGAGGCGUUACCCGCAGAAGAAGCACCGGCUAACUCCGUGCCAGCAGCCGCGGUAAUAC
RNAcentral lists this ribosomal RNA (406 nucleotides) under uncultured bacterium. RNAcentral describes it as "partial 16S ribosomal RNA". It matches the Rfam family "Bacterial small subunit ribosomal RNA", at positions 30 to 526 of the family's 1533-position model. The record is from RNAcentral.